UUCCGUAGGUGAACCUGCGGAGGGAUCAUUACACAAAUAUGAAGGCGGGCUGGAACCUCUCGGGGUUACAGCCUUGCUGAAUUAUUCACCCUUGUCUUUUGCGUACUUCUUGUUUCCUUGGUGGGUUCGCCCACCACUAGGACAAACAUAAACCUUUUGUAAUUGCAAUCAGCGUCAGUAACAAAUUAAUAAUUACAACUUUCAACAACGGAUCUCUUGGUUCUGGCAUCGAUGAAGAACGCAGCGAAAUGCGAUAAGUAGUGUGAAUUGCAGAAUUCAGUGAAUCAUCGAAUCUUUGAACGCACAUUGCGCCCUUUGGUAUUCCAAAGGGCAUGCCUGUUCGAGCGUCAUUUGUACCCUCAAGCUUUGCUUGGUGUUGGGCGUCUUGUCUCUAGCUUUGCUGGAGACUCGCCUUAAAGUAAUUGGCAGCCGGCCUACUGGUUUCGGAGCGCAGCACAAGUCGCACUCUCUAUCAGCAAAGGUCUAGCAUCCAUUAAGCCUUUUUUUCAACUUUUGACCUCGGAUCAGGUAGGGAUACCCGCUGAACUUAAGCAUAUCAAUAAGCGGAAGAA
This 572-nucleotide ribosomal RNA is filed under the name uncultured organism. RNAcentral's name for it is "eukaryotic LSU rRNA". The stretch from base 197 to 350 matches the Rfam family "5.8S ribosomal RNA". The record is from RNAcentral.